RNAcentral lists this ribosomal RNA (1101 nucleotides) under Staphylococcus aureus M0441. RNAcentral describes it as "bacterial LSU rRNA". It matches the Rfam family "Bacterial large subunit ribosomal RNA", at positions 1157 to 2259 of the family's 2925-position model. Lineage: Bacteria; Bacillati; Bacillota; Bacilli; Caryophanales; Staphylococcaceae. The record is from RNAcentral.
CACUGCGCCGAAAAUGUACCGGGGCUAAACAUAUUACCGAAGCUGUGGAUUGUCCUUUGGACAAUGGUAGGAGAGCGUUCUAAGGGCGUUGAAGCAUGAUCGUAAGGACAUGUGGAGCGCUUAGAAGUGAGAAUGCCGGUGUGAGUAGCGAAAGACGGGUGAGAAUCCCGUCCACCGAUUGACUAAGGUUUCCAGAGGAAGGCUCGUCCGCUCUGGGUUAGUCGGGUCCUAAGCUGAGGCCGACAGGCGUAGGCGAUGGAUAACAGGUUGAUAUUCCUGUACCACCUAUAAUCGUUUUAAUCGAUGGGGGGACGCAGUAGGAUAGGCGAAGCGUGCGAUUGGAUUGCACGUCUAAGCAGUAAGGCUGAGUAUUAGGCAAAUCCGGUACUCGUUAAGGCUGAGCUGUGAUGGGGAGAAGACAUUGAGUCUUCGAGUCGUUGAUUUCACACUGCCGAGAAAAGCCUCUAGAUAGAAAAUAGGUGCCCGUACCGCAAACCGACACAGGUAGUCAAGAUGAGAAUUCUAAGGUGAGCGAGCGAACUCUCGUUAAGGAACUCGGCAAAAUGACCCCGUAACUUCGGGAGAAGGGGUGCUCUUUAGGGUUAACGCCCAGAAGAGCCGCAGUGAAUAGGCCCAAGCGACUGUUUAUCAAAAACACAGGUCUCUGCUAAACCGUAAGGUGAUGUAUAGGGGCUGACGCCUGCCCGGUGCUGGAAGGUUAAGAGGAGUGGUUAGCUUCUGCGAAGCUACGAAUCGAAGCCCCAGUAAACGGCGGCCGUAACUAUAACGGUCCUAAGGUAGCGAAAUUCCUUGUCGGGUAAGUUCCGACCCGCACGAAAGGCGUAACGAUUUGGGCACUGUCUCAACGAGAGACUCGGUGAAAUCAUAGUACCUGUGAAGAUGCAGGUUACCCGCGACAGGACGGAAAGACCCCGUGGAGCUUUACUGUAGCCUGAUAUUGAAAUUCGGCACAGCUUGUACAGGAUAGGUAGGAGCCUUUGAAACGUGAGCGCUAGCUUACGUGGAGGCGCUGGUGGGAUACUACCCUAGCUGUGUUGGCUUUCUAACCCGCACCACUUAUCGUGGUGGGAGACAGUGUCA